RNAcentral lists this ribosomal RNA (533 nucleotides) under uncultured delta proteobacterium. Its description in RNAcentral is "bacterial SSU rRNA". It matches the Rfam family "Bacterial small subunit ribosomal RNA", at positions 8 to 522 of the family's 1533-position model. The record is from RNAcentral. Lineage: Bacteria; Deltaproteobacteria.
AGAGUUUGAUUCUGGCUCAGGACGAACGCUGGCGGCGUGCCUAACACAUGCAAGUCCAGAGAAUUGGACUCUUCGGAUUCCAUAGUAAACUGGCGAACGGGUGAGUAACACGUAAGUACCUGCCCCAGGGACGGGGAUAACACUGCUAACGCGGUGCUAAUACCGGAUAAUGCAGCGAUCCGCAUGGAUAUGUUGUUAAAGCUGGCCUCUUCAUGAAAGCUAGCGCCUUGGGAUGACUUGCGUCCCAUUAGUUAGUUGGCGGGGUAACGGCCCACCAAGACUGCGAUGGGUAGCGGCCUGAGAGGGUGAUCGGCCACACUGGGACUGAGAUACGGCCCAGACUCCUACGGGAGCAGCAGUGAGGAAUAUUGCGCAAUGGUCGCAAGACUGACGCAGCAACGCCGCGUGAGGGUGAAGUACUUCGGUAUGUAAACCUCUGUUAGAAGGGAAGAAUAGGUGGAUGUCGAACAGCAGCCAUCGUGACGGUACCUUCAGAGAAAGCCCCGGCUAACUCCGUGCCAGCAGCCGCGUAA